UGUUAAAAAUCGCAUCCUUUUGUACUGUUAGAAACUGGCGUGACUGAUAGAAUAACCAGAUACACAUAGCAUGUCAUGUGUAACUCAUGCUGAUGCACAUAAACCAGUUUUUAAUAGUAAAAAUAGAUGAAAUUUUUAUUA
Non-coding RNA from Gossypium raimondii (Peruvian cotton), 141 nucleotides. The record is from Rfam. Lineage: Eukaryota; Viridiplantae; Streptophyta; Magnoliopsida; Malvales; Malvaceae.